AAAUUAAGAACUUAACUCUACCCUUUGCAUUGAUAAAUCUUCUAAACCCUUUUUCCAAUCAUUCUUUUCUUUUCUCUUAACUCUAGGAGAAGCUUUCUCAACACUUUGAUACAUCUAGCGGAUUUUAAUUUCUUUAACAACUAAUGUUCCUGUUUUAAAUUUUUAAAACCGAGGGCUUUUGCCCUUCUUCAUUAGCUAACAAGAACCCUUUUCUUUUCUUUACAAAUCCCAAAACGUUUACUAGACUUUUUCUGCUUCAUUACGCUACUUCACCUAGAGUCUUUUACCUUUUCUUAUCAAUGAAUCCACCC
Molecule: small RNA, 311 nt
Filed under: Arabidopsis thaliana (thale cress)
Lineage: Eukaryota; Viridiplantae; Streptophyta; Magnoliopsida; Brassicales; Brassicaceae
Description: ATSL203060
Source: RNAcentral